This is a long non-coding RNA of Nicotiana attenuata, 349 nucleotides long. RefSeq lists it as uncharacterized. NCBI's taxonomy places the organism in Eukaryota, Viridiplantae, Streptophyta, Magnoliopsida, Solanales, Solanaceae. The transcript is spliced from 3 exons. The record is from RefSeq and is a predicted model, not a curated record.
UCUCUUACUACAUCCGACACUGGUGAAAAGCUCCAUCCGCAAAGCCCUCUUCUUCAAACGGCUCUUUGCUUCAUAUCCCUGCUCUCUCUCACUCCUCCCCUUUGUCUAUUGAUAUUUCCUACUAGGUGUGAAGUUAUUCUUCUCUGUUACGAUAAAAGUGCUUUUUAUCCACCAAUGUCUUCUCCUACUUCGUACAAUAAUAUUGAUUUGUCACUGUGAGACUUUCAGCACUCAAAACUGUCAUGACCCAAAAUCCACUAAGGAUCGUGAAGGCGCAGGACACUGCUGCCAGGCAAGCCCACCAAGUUACUUAAUCAAAUUCCCGUUUUAAUACUUCUGAAAUCUAUGA